AGAAUGGAUGUGCAAGAAUUAUCCUUAUUUCCUUUGCUUUGGCAUCUCCUUAUACCUGGCUUUUGCUCAGCCUGUGUUCCUACUGAGUGUCUGAAAUGUAACAACACAGGAGAAACUCUGUCAGAUUUAUGCCCAGUCUGUUCAAACAACGGUACUCAGUGCAUCCCUG
Thalassophryne amazonica is the source of this 169-nucleotide long non-coding RNA. RefSeq lists it as uncharacterized. The record is from RefSeq and is a predicted model, not a curated record. The transcript is spliced from 3 exons. Lineage: Eukaryota; Metazoa; Chordata; Actinopteri; Batrachoidiformes; Batrachoididae.